This 448-nucleotide ribosomal RNA is filed under the name uncultured bacterium. RNAcentral's name for it is "partial 16S ribosomal RNA". It matches the Rfam family "Bacterial small subunit ribosomal RNA", at positions 328 to 793 of the family's 1533-position model. The record is from RNAcentral.
AUGCCAGACUCCUACGGGAGGCAGCAGUGGGGGAUAUUGCACAAUGGGGGGAACCCUGAUGCAGCGACGCCGCGUGGGUGAAGGAGCGUUUCGGCGCGUAAAGCCCUAUCGGCAGGGAAGAAGGAGGACGGUACCUGACUAAGAAGCCCCGGCUAACUACGUGCCAGCAGCCGCGGUAAUACGUAGGGGGCAAGCGUUAUCCGGAUUUAUUGGGUUUAAAGGGUGCGUAGGCGGGCUUUUAAGUCAGCGGUAAAAAUUCGGGGCUCAACCCCGUCCGGCCGUUGAAACUGGCGUUCUUGAGUGGGCGAGAAGUAUGCGGAAUGCGUGGUGUAGCGGUGAAAUGCAUAGAUAUCACGCAGAACUCCGAUUGCGAAGGCAGCAUACCGGCGCCCAACUGACGCUGAAGCACGAAAGCGUGGGUAUCGAACAGGAUUAGAUACCCCCGUAC